AUGCUCUUUGGAGUUGCCCACCCGGUGCACUUCGAUCACUUCCAGGGCGGCGCCUUCUUCGCCCUGCCUCACGGCUCCAUUGGCGCACGGAGCCCCUGUUACCUUGUUCUCAGUGCCCUGCCUCCAGUCUCUGCUAUCCGACUCAGCACUCACGCUCUUUCUGGGUUGCGGGGCCGGCGACGCCGCAAGGCGAUGGUUGGCUGCCUUCUUGUCCACCUUCUUAACUGUCUUGCGGAUGCGGAAUCGCGCGGCUCGAAAGAUGCGCCCGUAGAGAACCAGCAUGAGCAGCAGAGGGAUGUAGAAAGCGCCGAAGGUGGAGUAAAUAGUGUAGCCGUGGUCCUUGCUGAUAGUGCACGCGUCCGGGUCCGAGCGGUCUUCCGGGGUGCGCCAGCCCAGCAUGGGCGGGAUGGAGAUGAGGAAGCCAAUGAGCCAGCAUCUACGGAGAACUUGGUGGAAUUCCUGGUCGCUGGUUGCAGAGUUCUUUUGGGCGCAGAAGCUGGGUUCAGCACCUGGGACAGCUCUAGGCAAUAAGGACUUAUGUCGCCACCUACCGGCAAACGCUUUAGAGGGCCAUCUAGAAACCCUCGUCUUGCAGAAAAGAGCGUGUACUGAAGAAAUCCACAACUUCAAUAAAGAUGGUUAUUAAAAGAAAAGUAACUUUGAGUUUUCCAUUUUUUCUAUUUUAUUCAAAAAUUUCUUUUAGUAUCAUCUGUUGCUUUUAAUCGUCUCUAUCAAGCCCAUUAUGUUUUCUGGCAUCAUCUGUUGCUUUUAAUCGUCUCUAUCAAGUCCAUUAUGUUUUCUGGCUUUUUUUUUUUGAAAGCCUGCAACAUGCCAUUCACAAGUUCUAUCUAGAAAUGCAAUUUUAAUAGACCUAGGGAAACACCUUCUCUUGUGUUGAUUUUGUGCUAACAUAUGCUGAACUUUGGAAGUCAUACAUUUGCACACAUUCAUCAAUGGGGAAAAAGCAUUAUUGGAUUUUCCAAAUGGGGAUGACUUAACAUAGAAGAUAAAAAGACUGCUAUGUGUUGGUUAUCUAAGCUGUUUCCUUUACCAAGGAAACCAAAUUUAAUUCCAUCUGCACUUAGGUAAAGAAUGGGAUUUCUACUCCAUUAGAGUAACAUAUAACGAAAUUCACUUAUACACUCUGAUUUCAGGACUGAAGCAAAGUACAGAAUGCAAUCCCAAAAGUAGAUGACGCUAGAUAAUGUGCACAGAUUCACUACAGGAUAGUAAUAGUCUUAAUACUGUGUUCAAACUUGAGAUCUAAAUGCUCCAAGACCAAACAAAAGAGCAAUCAUAAAAGUGUCAGAGAAAAUCUUGUUGUACAGGACGAUGUAUUUGGAGAUGGAUUGUUUUACAAUGCCGUGCUGGGCACAGUUCCCACUUAAUCAUUUCAGCAUGCCACAACAAUGAACCUGACAUUUAUCAUGAUUCAAGGCACUGAAAAGAAAGAGAUAAGUACAUAUGGUAAUACUGGCUACAGACUCUGAAAAGUCUUUUUAAAAUUUGUGUGGGUACUCAUUCUCCCCUUUAAAAUCUCCUCACAAAUACAAAGCUAAAUAACUUUAUUAAAAUACAGUUGCAGUUCCAGCAAAAUUUAAUAAAAAAAAUAAUUAUAAUCUAGAUUCUCCAAAGAUAAAACUUGGGAAAUAUAGCUGAUAACAUAA
RNAcentral lists this long non-coding RNA (1667 nucleotides) under Ovis aries (sheep). Its description in RNAcentral is "lncRNA (ENSOARG00000026957.1)". Lineage: Eukaryota; Metazoa; Chordata; Mammalia; Artiodactyla; Bovidae. The record is from RNAcentral.